GAUGAACGCUGGCGGCGUGCAUAACACAUUCAAGUCGAACGGGGCAGCAAUGCCUAGUGGCGGACGGGUGAGUAACGCGUGAGCAACCUGCCCUUGCGUGGGGGAUACCAUCUGGAAACGGAUGUUAAUACCGCAUAAAGUACAAGCGACCGCAUGGUCGUAGUACCAAAGAUUUAUUGCGCAAGGAUGGGCUCGCGUCCCAUUAGAUAGUUGGUGAGGUAACGGCCCACCAAGUCAGCGAUGGGUAGCCGGACUGAGAGGUUGAACGGCCACAUUGGAACUGAGAUACGGUCCAGACUCCUACGGGAGGCAGCAGUGGGGAAUAUUGGGCAAUGGGCGAAAGCCUGACCCAGCGACGCCGCGUGAAGGAAGAAGGUCUUCGGAUUGUAAACUUCUGUUAUGGGGGACGAACACAUGACGGUACCCCAUGAGAAAGCCACGGCUAACUACGUGCCAGCAGCCGCGGUAAUACGUAGGUGGCGAGCGUUAUCCGGAUUUACUGGGUGUAAAGGGUGUGUAGGCGGGACUGCAAGUCAGAUGUGAAAACUAUGGGCUCAACUCAUAGCUUGCAUUUGAAACUGUGGUUCUUGAGGGUCGGAGAGGUAACUGGAAUUCCCGGUGUAGCGGUGAAAUGCGUAGAUAUCGGGAGGAACACCAGUGGCGAAGGCGAGUUACUGGACGAUACCUGACGCUGAGACACGAAAGUGUGGGGAGCAAACAGGAUUAGAUACCCUGGUAGUCCACACCGUAAACGAUGAAUGCUAGGUGUGGGGGUGCAAACCUCCGUGCCGCAGUUAACACAAUAAGCAUUCCACCUGGGGAGUACGGCCGCAAGGUUGAAACUCAAAAGGAAUUGACGGGGACCCGCACAAGCAGUGGAGUAUGUGGUUUAAUUCGACGCAACGCGAAGAACCUUACCAGGACUUGACAUCCCAGGAAUUCCGGCGUAAUGGCUGGAGUGCCCUUCGGGGAAUCUGGAGACAGGUGGUGCAUGGUUGUCGUCAGCUCGUGUCGUGAGAUGUUGGGUUAAGUCCCGCAACGAGCGCAACCCUUACGGUCAGUUGCUACAUUGAGUUGAGCACUCCGGCUGGACUGCCGUUGACAAAACGGAGGAAGGUGGGGAUGACGUCAAAUCAUCAUGCCCCUUACGUUCUGGGCUACACACGUACUACAAUGGCGAAAAACGAAAGGGCAGCGAAAACCGCGAGGUGGAGCCAAUCCCAUAAAAAAUCGUCUCGGUUUCGGACUGCGGGCUGCAACCCGCCUGCGCGAAGCUGGAAUUGCUAGUAAUCGCGGGUCAGCAUACCGCGGUGAAAUACGUUUCCCGGGUCU
Molecule: ribosomal RNA, 1332 nt
Filed under: uncultured bacterium
Lineage: Bacteria
Description: bacterial SSU rRNA
Rfam family: Bacterial small subunit ribosomal RNA
Source: RNAcentral